AUACUUACGUGGCAGUGGAGAAAUCAUUUUCACAAAGAUUGUUUUUUUCUAGGUUAGGCUUAUCCUUAGUAUUCCUCUAGAUAUGCUGACACUGGUGAUUUUCCCAAAUGUGGGAACUCCACUGAAUAAUUUUAUGGUAUUGGGGAACUGCAUUUUUGCUUUUCCCUG
Molecule: small nuclear RNA, 168 nt
Organism: Suncus etruscus (white-toothed pygmy shrew)
Lineage: Eukaryota; Metazoa; Chordata; Mammalia; Eulipotyphla; Soricidae
Product: U1 spliceosomal RNA
Exons: 1
Source: RefSeq, a predicted model, not a curated record